This 124-nucleotide microRNA precursor is filed under the name Helianthus annuus (common sunflower). Lineage: Eukaryota; Viridiplantae; Streptophyta; Magnoliopsida; Asterales; Asteraceae. The record is from RNAcentral.
GCAAGAAGAUCAUGUUAGUAACACAAGGAACAACCUGCCUCGUAAAUAAACAAGGCACUACAUUCCAACAACGUGAGGUGUGAGGAGGCAAGUCAUCCUUGGCUACCAAACAAGACUCUUCUCU